UUUAUAACAUAUUAUCAUUUGAUUCACUAAAUAAUUAAAUAUUAAUCCCGAUUAUAAAUCAUAAUUUAUUUCCAAGUUCUAACUAUAUAUUUGUUUCCUUUUCCUUUUGGGUUCUUAUUUCUGCCUACUUGUUACACCUUUCAACAGUAGGGUGCAGGAGCUUCAACGUGAAAUCUCUCAAAUUGGUCAAGAGAUCGAAAACCUGAUGAGGAGAAUGGGUUAAACCGUUAACAGAUAACAACUUGUGGAGUAUGAUGGGUGAUUUGGAAGAUGAUCUCGAAGAGCACAUUGAUGUUCUGCUAUAGUAGUUCUAGCAUUGGAAUAAGGCAACACAAGUUGUUUCGUUUCAAUCCUUCUAUUUGGUUGGGUGUUUUUUAUCAUUUUGUCUUAUUUUUCCUUUCUUCCUAAGUCUAAAGAUUUUUGUAUGUCAGAUUUGAUUGGUUUUCAUCAUUUUGUCUUUGUUUUGCAUUGUUUCUGGGUCCUAAAGUCUUUUGUAAGAGACUGAUAUUUAUGAAAAAAAGGUCGUUCAUUGAGACAA
Long non-coding RNA from Gossypium arboreum, 538 nucleotides. RefSeq lists it as uncharacterized. The transcript is spliced from 3 exons. Lineage: Eukaryota; Viridiplantae; Streptophyta; Magnoliopsida; Malvales; Malvaceae. The record is from RefSeq and is a predicted model, not a curated record.